RNAcentral lists this ribosomal RNA (468 nucleotides) under uncultured bacterium. RNAcentral describes it as "partial 16S ribosomal RNA". It matches the Rfam family "Bacterial small subunit ribosomal RNA", at positions 28 to 507 of the family's 1533-position model. The record is from RNAcentral.
GACGAACGCUGGCGGCGUGCUUAACACAUGCAAGUCGAACGGAAAGGCCCUGCUUUUGUGGGGUGCUCGAGUGGCGAACGGGUGAGUAACACGUGAGUAACCUGCCCUUGACUUUGGGAUAACUUCAGGAAACUGGGGCUAAUACCGGAUAGGAGCUCCUGCUGCAUGGUGGGGGUUGGAAAGUUUCGGCGGUUGGGGAUGGACUCGCGGCUUAUCAGCUUGUUGGUGGGGUAGUGGCUUACCAAGGCUUUGACGGGUAGCCGGCCUGAGAGGGUGACCGGCAACAUUGGGACUGAGAUACGGCCCAGAAUGCUACGGGAGGCAGCAGGGGGGAAUAUUGCACAAUGGGCGGAAGCCUGAUGCAGCAACGCCGCGUGCGGGAUGACGGCCUUCGGGUUGUAAACCGCUUUCGCCUGUGACGAAGCGUGAGUGACGGUAAUGGGUAAAGAAGCACCGGCUAACUACGUG